RNAcentral lists this long non-coding RNA (631 nucleotides) under Nicotiana benthamiana. RNAcentral describes it as "long non-coding RNA (NBEN_LNC028921)". Lineage: Eukaryota; Viridiplantae; Streptophyta; Magnoliopsida; Solanales; Solanaceae. The record is from RNAcentral.
CCUCCCCAGACCCCACCUGGUGGGAGUAUACUGGGUAGUUGUUGUUGUUGUUGUUGUUAUGUAUAUAUGGAUAUAUGUUAUGUAUAUAUUGUGUUGUAGUAAUUAGUAUAUAUUGUAUGUUAUGUAUAUAUGGAUAUAUGUGUAGAAUAUAAUGUGUUGUAGUAAUUAGUAUAUAUUGUAUAUUAUGUAUAUAUAUAUACUAAACAAUUAGAAAUAGUCGGAUAAUAUUGCCCAGAAAAAGUAUUUGUAGCAACUUGAAAAUGUUCUAAAAAAUCUAAAAGAAUUUUAACAUUAGUCCAAUCUUGGGUAGUUAGCAUUUCAUCAUCAUCCUCACCACCGAAAAUGUUCUAAAAAAUCUAAAAGAAUUUUAACAUUAGUCCAAUCUUGGGUUGUUAGCAUUUCAUCGUAAUCAUCACUACCUACCCGAGAACUAAACGUAGCAUUAAUUGAGUUUCUAUAUUCAUACGCUACUACUAAACUUUCGUACAUGCAAUUCCACCUAGUCGAGCAAGGUUUAGGAACAUUUCUUUCUCUAAGGCCAUAUUCGUCAAAUUUUUUAAGAUACUCUUUAAGUCUAGUUCUACGGUUUGAAUAAAAUAGCCAAUUAAGAGCCAUUCUCACCUUUUCAAUU